Long non-coding RNA from Cyprinus carpio (common carp), 1286 nucleotides. RefSeq lists it as uncharacterized. Lineage: Eukaryota; Metazoa; Chordata; Actinopteri; Cypriniformes; Cyprinidae. The transcript is spliced from 3 exons. The record is from RefSeq and is a predicted model, not a curated record.
GAUCUUGGGCAAAGGAGGUAAGACAGGAUAUGAAAACAAUGGACUCAUUGUAGAGAGAUGAUAGAGGGAUGAGAAGGAGAUCAGUGGAACACAGCACCAUCUACAGGCUGAUACAGCACACCAUCAGAUGAUCACAGUAAGACAGCCUGGAGCGGGUGACCGUUUUGUAGCCCCACCACCUUUCCUGUGCCAAAAAUGCCAACUGUAACAACAAAGAGUGGCAGAUGCCAAGGGAAUGCCAGACGAAUGACCUCCGUGAAGUCGGCCUACCAAAGAAAAGCAAAUAUUUACCCUGCGUGUUUGAACCCAUGGCGCUGUGCCACGGCUGCCCCUCAGAGCACAUACUGGGGCGAUAGGCUUACUCGUCCUCCAACUUUACUCUCUGGGACCCUGGGUACACCCUGUCCUGCACAUCCCAGAGCUCAGCCACCCUGAGACCAAUGUCUCCUUACAGAACACUGACUUCAAAGUCCAUUUUGGAAGGAAUGAUCUGAAGAAUGCGAACCGGUCUCUGAUAACCAACAGAGCAGUCGGGAUCAGUGGAGAAGCCACCAAAUGAGAUCUCCUGGGCAUCAAACACACACAAUACAUAAAAUAUGUGCAUAUCAUAUUAAUGUGCCGUUCUAUUCUUCCGCUGAGGUGAAGCUGGUUGGAAUAUGCUGACUGUCUUGACUGUGCAUGAUUUACCCACCUGUCAUCAGUGAACAAUUUUACAUGGAAAACAUGUAUUGGAUCUAGUUUGCUCAACUCUUUGACUCAGACUCUCCGCUUGGAAGAGUUUGCAGGUCAUACCAGGAUGCAAAACUGCACAUCUGACCCAUCUAUGUACUCCAUGGCCCCAUAACCCAUUAUCCUCCAUCAGAUUAGCAUAUCCACUCCAAGAAAUGAGCUCUCAAAUAAGCAUGUUAUCCAUCAGGAGAACAACAACAACUGCAAUGUUGUACAGACCUUAACCUGGGAAAAGAAAGUGUCUUGAUGCUAUGUGUCAGACUCAGCCAACGAGUAAAAUAAUAAUAAUAAUAAUAAUGAUAAUAAUAAUAAUAAUAAAAUAAUAAUAAUAAUAAUAAUUUCAGACUUCAUCUGAUAAAAGGGGCCAGAAUAGGUGUGGCACAACCUAUGUCUGUCUGCAUUAGGGUAUUGUCCUUUAAUCUGACUCCCACCAUGCUGGAUUGUAAUCCCCGUUUCCUGUAGGAGCAAUCAUCAACUACAUGAUGGGGAGGGGGAGGUUAAGAGGCAAAAUGGAGAUGCGAACAAUGUGUUAAGCUCUGUCAAAAAAAGUGGGGAGG